GCCUUGGGGAGAGCUGUUAAAACUGACAAAUUGCGUGACGCACAUCAUAAUACAAACAAAUGAAAAGAGUUGGCCCCAGCGGUUUUUAGACUUGCUUAUUGGAUUUUUGGAAAUAUGACCUGGUGCAGAGGGAAGAUGAAGGCAGGCAGCCCUACUGAGGCCAGAAUACGGUGGGCGGGGGAGCGGGCAACUGGCCGUGAUGUCAGCCUGAGCAUGUGCUGAGGACCAAUGAGAUGCCCAAGAGGGCAUGGAAAGGCAUCUGCCCCAUGGGUGAGCCCAGUUCGCCUCUGCAUGGACAUGCUGUGUGGCCCAGGGGAAGCCUCUGACCCUCUCUGAGCCUCAGUUGCCUCAUCUGUAGAGCAGGGACAACGACAUUCAUCUCGAGUCCUCGCAGGAAACCCACUGGGAUAUAAUCUCUGCUGCUCCCCAUCCUGCCUCAUGCCCCAGGAAGCUGACCUGUAUACACUGCAUCAAGAAGCUCUCUUGACCUUUGGCUUCCAGUUGACUUGGCUAAUGAACUUGCCAGACACCUGAACCUUCAACAGCCACCACCCUGACCAGUCAGCAGUCCUCACCACCCACCAGCAAGAGGAUCC
Molecule: long non-coding RNA, 596 nt
Filed under: Homo sapiens (human)
Lineage: Eukaryota; Metazoa; Chordata; Mammalia; Primates; Hominidae
Description: HSALNT0350577
Source: RNAcentral